GGAAGUAAAAGUCGUAACCAAGGUUUCCGUAGGUGAACCUGCGGAAGGAUCAUUAUUGGAUUUUGAAACUUCAGGCUGCUGCUGGCUCUCCUCGGAGGGCAUGUGCACGCUUGUUGUCCAUUAUUUCUCCCACUGUGCACAAAUUGUAGACCUUUCAGUAGGCCUAUGUUGUUUUUCACAAUCUCUGAAUGUAAUAGAAUGGUUUUGAAUCUUGGGAAAUAAAAUACAACUUUCAGCAACGGAUCUCUUGGCUCUC
Molecule: unclassified non-coding RNA, 256 nt
Filed under: plant metagenome
Description: partial contains small subunit ribosomal RNA, internal transcribed spacer 1, and 5.8S ribosomal RNA
Rfam family: Eukaryotic small subunit ribosomal RNA (bases 1-55)
Source: RNAcentral